RNAcentral lists this ribosomal RNA (549 nucleotides) under uncultured Actinomycetes bacterium. RNAcentral describes it as "bacterial SSU rRNA". It matches the Rfam family "Bacterial small subunit ribosomal RNA", at positions 117 to 661 of the family's 1533-position model. The record is from RNAcentral. Lineage: Bacteria; Bacillati; Actinomycetota; Actinomycetes.
GUGAGUAACCUGCCCUCUUCUUUGGGAUAACGCCCGGAAACGGGUGCCAAUACUGGAUAUUCACUUGCCUUCGCAUGGGGCUGGGUGGACAAGGGUUUUCUUCUGGUGCGGGAUGGGCUCGCGGCCUAUCAGCUUGUUGGUGGGGUGAUGGCUUACCAAGGCUUUGACGGGUAGCCGGCCUGAGAGGGUGACCGGUCACAUUGGGACUGAGAUACGGCCCAGACUCCUACGGGAGGCAGCAGUGGGGAAUAUUGCACAAUGGGCGCAAGCCUGAUGCAGCGACGCCGCGUGAGGGAUGGAGGCCUUCGGGUUGUGAACCUCUUUCGCUCAUGGUCAAGCCGCAACUCAUGGUUGUGGUGAGGGUAGUGGGUAAAGAAGCGCCGGCUAACUACGUGCCAGCAGCCGCGGUAAUACGUAGGGCGCGAGCGUUGUCCGGAAUUAUUGGGCGUAAAGGGCUUGUAGGCGGUUGGUCGCGUCUGCCGUGAAAUCCUCUGGCUUAACUGGGGGCGUGCGGUGGGUACGGGCUGACUUGAGUGCGGUAGGGGAGAC